This 254-nucleotide ribosomal RNA is filed under the name uncultured bacterium. RNAcentral describes it as "partial 16S ribosomal RNA". It matches the Rfam family "Bacterial small subunit ribosomal RNA", at positions 524 to 776 of the family's 1533-position model. The record is from RNAcentral.
UACGUAGGGAGCGAGCGUUGUCCGGAUUUAUUGGGCGUAAAGAGCGCGUAGGCGGCUUGGUAAGCCGGGUGUGAAACCCCCGAGCUCAACUCGGGGCGGCCAUUCGGAACUGCUAUGGCUAGAGUCUGGUAGGGGAACACGGAAUACCUGGUGUAGCGGUGAAAUGCUUAGAUAUCAGGUGGAACACCAGUGGCGAAGGCGGUGUUCUGGGCCAGUACUGACGCUGAGGCGCGAAAGCGUGGGGAGCGAACAGG